AGAGUUUGAUCCUGGCUCAGGACGAACGCUGGCGGCGUGCCUAACACAUGCAAGUCGAACGGAACUGUUUUGAAAGAUUUCUUCGGAAUGAAUUUGAUUUAGUUUAGUGGCGGACGGGUGAGUAACGCGUGAGUAACCUGCCUUCAAGAGGGGGAUAACAUUCUGAAAAGAAUGCUAAUACCGCAUGACAUAUCGGAACCACAUGGUUCUGAUAUCAAAGAUUUUAUCGCUUGAAGAUGGACUCGCGUCCGAUUAGUUAGUUGGUGAGGUAACGGCUCACCAAGACCGCGAUCGGUAGCCGGACUGAGAGGUUGAACGGCCACAUUGGGACUGAGACACGGCCCAGACUCCUACGGGAGGCAGCAGUGGGGGAUAUUGCGCAAUGGGGGCAACCCUGACGCAGCAACGCCGCGUGAAGGAUGAAGGUUUUCGGAUUGUAAACUUCUUUUAUUAAGGACGAAAAAUGACGGUACUUAAUGAAUAAGCUCCGGCUAACUACGUGCCAGCAGCCGCGGUAAUACGUAGGGAGCAAGCGUUGUCCGGAUUUACUGGGUGUAAAGGGUGCGUAGGCGGCUUUGCAAGUCAGAUGUGAAAUCUAUGGGCUCAACCCAUAAACUGCAUUUGAAACUGUAGAGCUUGAGUGAAGUAGAGGCAGGCGGAAUUCCCCGUGUAGCGGAGAAAUGCGUAGAGAUGGGGAGGAACACCAGUGGCGAAGGCGGCCUGCUGGGCUUUAACUGACGCUGAGGCACGAAAGCGUGGGUAGCAAACAGGAUUAGAUACCCUGGUAGUCCACGCUGUAAACGAUGAUUACUAGGUGUGGGGGGUCUGAC
Molecule: ribosomal RNA, 830 nt
Filed under: uncultured bacterium
Lineage: Bacteria
Description: bacterial SSU rRNA
Rfam family: Bacterial small subunit ribosomal RNA
Source: RNAcentral